AACGAACGCUGGCGGCAGGCUUAACACAUGCAAGUCGAGCGAAUGAAGUUCCUUCGGGAACGGAUUUAGCGGCGGACGGGUGAGUAACACGUGGGCAACCUGCCUCAUAGAGGGGAAUAGCCUUCCGAAAGGGAGAUUAAUACCGCAUAAGAUUGUAGUACCGCAUGGUACAGCAAUUAAAGGAGCAAUCCGCUAUGAGAUGGGCCCGCGGCGCAUUAGCUAGUUGGUGAGGUAACGGCUCACCAAGGCGACGAUGCGUAGCCGACCUGAGAGGGUGAUCGGCCACAUUGGGACUGAGACACGGCCCAGACUCCUACGGGAGGCAGCAGUGGGGAAUAUUGCACAAUGGGGGAAACCCUGAUGCAGCAACGCCGCGUGAGUGAUGACGGCCUUCGGGUUGUAAAGCUCUGUCUUCAGGGACGAUAAUGACGGUACCUGAGGAGGAAGCCACGGCUAACUACGUGCCAGCCGCCGCGGUAA
Molecule: ribosomal RNA, 480 nt
Filed under: uncultured bacterium
Lineage: Bacteria
Description: partial 16S ribosomal RNA
Rfam family: Bacterial small subunit ribosomal RNA
Source: RNAcentral